Molecule: ribosomal RNA, 538 nt
Filed under: Gekko subpalmatus
Lineage: Eukaryota; Metazoa; Chordata; Lepidosauria; Squamata; Gekkonidae
Description: partial large subunit ribosomal RNA
Rfam family: Bacterial large subunit ribosomal RNA
Source: RNAcentral
AUUAAGGUACUGCCUGCCCAGUGAAAAUUUUAACGGCCGCGGUACCAUAACCGUGCAAAGGUAGCGUAAUCACUUGUCCCUUAAAUAGGGACCCGUAUGAAUGGCUAAAUGAGGGCAAACCUGUCCCCUUGGACUACUCAAUGAAACUGAUCUAGCAGUACAAAAGCUGGUAUAUACCCAUAAGACGAGAAGACCCUGUGGAGCUUUAAACUAACCACUACCCCAAGCACCACCACCGCUACGGCGGCGAACGCACUCCCAUAAUAGUGCUAGAUUUUAGUUGGGGCGACUACGGAACAUAACAAAACUUCCAUGAUUUUAGGCUCCUCCCCAUCAAAGACCUACAAGUCAACGAUAAACAAAACCGACCCAGUAAUACUGAUCACCGAACCAAGUUACCCCAGGGAUAACAGCGCCAUCCCCUUUAAGAGUCCAUAUCGCCAAGGGGGCUUACGACCUCGAUGUUGGAUCAGGACCCCCAGGUGGUGCAGCCGCUACCAAUGGUUCGUUUGUUCAACGAUUAAUGUCCUACGUGAUC